RNAcentral lists this ribosomal RNA (497 nucleotides) under uncultured bacterium. Its description in RNAcentral is "partial 16S ribosomal RNA". It matches the Rfam family "Bacterial small subunit ribosomal RNA", at positions 28 to 507 of the family's 1533-position model. The record is from RNAcentral.
GAUGAACGCUGGCGGCGUGCCUAAUAAAUGCAAGUCGAGCGAACGGACGAGAAGCUUGCUUCUCUGAUGUUAGCGGCGGACGGGUGAGUAACACGUGGAUAACCUACCUAUAAGACUGGGAUAACUUCGGGAAACCGGAGCUAAUACCGGAUAAUAUUUUGAACCGCAUGGUUCAAAAGUGAAAGACGGUCUUGCUGUCAUUUAUAGAUGGAUCCGCGCUGCAUUAGCUAGUUGGUAAGGUAACGGCUUACCAAGGCAACGAUGCAUAGCCGACCUGAGAGGGUGAUCGGCCACACUGGAACUGAGACACGGUCCAGACUCCUACGGGAGGCAGCAGUAGGGAAUCUUCCGCAAUGGGCGAAAGCCUGACGGAGCAACGCCGCGUGAGUGAUGAAGGUCUUCGGAUCGUAAAACUCUGUUAUUAGGGAAGAACAUAUGUGUAAGUAACUGUGCACAUCUUGACGGUACCUAAUCAGAAAGCCACGGCUAACUACGUG